GUUUUUAUUACUGAUUCAUGCCUAUUGAAAAAGAAAUGGGAAAAAGAACAAUCUGGAACUCAACUUUUCUUCUUUUCUUUAUUACUGAUGUUGAAAAUACAUUUAUGAGGUAAGAAAUUGCUAAAAUCUUAGGUAAAGAAAGAGUUAACACUUCAAUACUGUUUUAGACAGUUAUGUCCUAUGUUGCUAGAACUGGGAUAUGAGAAAUUUUUAGCUGAAGAUCUUUCUGCAUUAAACAAAAAUCAGGCCAUUCAUGGACAUCUUCAUAUUUUUUCAGUGUUUACAGGUCGUACAUUUCUAACGUUGAACUGUGGGAUUACAAACAAUUUACCUCCAACAAGAGAAAGACAGAAGCAACUUUUCAACGGUAUGUGUUCAUGUUUCCUAAGCUAUCCUUUUUCUUUCAUAGAGCUAAACACAAAGUACAGUCAGUGCUUUCUAGAUGAUAUUUCAGUCCCUUGAAAGUUUCUAUUGCCAAGAACGAAACUUCUGUACAUUCUGGAGAAAACAAGUAACUUCCUGUUGUAAGAAUAAUUAGUUUAAUCCAUUAUUAUGAUUGCUAGAACUUGGUUGUAAACUCCACAUUCUCCUCUGCUCCUCAAAGCUUCCUAUGACUGCAGAUUGCUUCUUAACUCCCAAUUGCUUUGCAAAAAGAUCAUAAUAUGCUACAGGGUCUACACUUUCCAAUAUUUUCACUAAUUUUCCUUGUUUUUCAUCCACCACAAUUUGUCCAUCUUUGGAUUCAACACCUUCAGCCAGGACCUUAAUGGGCUUCAUUCGCGAGAUUGGAUUCAGCAAGGAGUCCCCAGCCAAGACUACUGCACCAAGAAUUUCCCCCAAGAAUGUGUCCUGCAGAAUAACAUCAUUCUGUAAUAGCAGGAAAAGCAGCAAGCAGGAAAAGCCAAGAAUCAAGAUAUUCAUUGAUGAUAAGACAUGUUACUAACAGAACUUAGUUUAGUUG
RNAcentral lists this long non-coding RNA (961 nucleotides) under Manihot esculenta (cassava). Its description in RNAcentral is "long non-coding RNA (MESC_LNC001908)". The record is from RNAcentral. Lineage: Eukaryota; Viridiplantae; Streptophyta; Magnoliopsida; Malpighiales; Euphorbiaceae.